UACGUAGGGUGCAAGCGUUGUCCGGAAUUAUUGGGCGUAAAGAGCUCGUAGGCGGUCUGUCGCGUCGGCUGUGAAAUCCCGAGGCUCAACCUCGGGUCUGCAGUCGAUACGGGCAAACUGGAGUGUUGCAGGGGAGACUGGAAUUCCUGGUGUAGCGGUGAAAUGCGUAGAUAUCUGGAGGAACACCGGUGGCGAAGGCGGCGUUCUGGACUGCUACUGACACUGAGGAACGAAAGCCAGGGGAGCGAACAGG
This 253-nucleotide ribosomal RNA is filed under the name uncultured bacterium. Its description in RNAcentral is "partial 16S ribosomal RNA". It matches the Rfam family "Bacterial small subunit ribosomal RNA", at positions 524 to 776 of the family's 1533-position model. The record is from RNAcentral.